UGUUGUAUAUUGGAAUAUACGCAAAAUACUCACUCAUAAUGAUGGGGUCGGUAGUUCGAAUCUACCCAUAGCCACCA
This 77-nucleotide transfer RNA is filed under the name Gammaproteobacteria bacterium. Its description in RNAcentral is "tRNA-Met". The record is from RNAcentral. Lineage: Bacteria; Pseudomonadati; Pseudomonadota; Gammaproteobacteria.